RNAcentral lists this ribosomal RNA (632 nucleotides) under uncultured bacterium FukuN3. RNAcentral describes it as "bacterial SSU rRNA". It matches the Rfam family "Bacterial small subunit ribosomal RNA", at positions 8 to 639 of the family's 1533-position model. Lineage: Bacteria; Pseudomonadati; Bacteroidota. The record is from RNAcentral.
AGAGCUUGAUCCUGGCUCAGGAUGAACGCUAGCGGCAGGCUUAAUACAUGCAAGUCGAGGGGUAGCAGGUAGCAAUACGCUGACGACCGGCAAACGGGUGCGGAACACGUACACAACUUACCUUUUAGUGGGGGACAGCCCAGGGAAACUUGGAUUAAUACCCCGUAAGAUAAUUGAAUGGCAUCAUUUGAUUAUUAUAGAUUUAUUGCUAGAAGAUGGGUGUGCGGCUGAUUAGGUAGUUGGUAGGGUAACGGCCUACCAAGCCAACGAUCAGUAGCUGAUGUGAGAGCAUGAUCAGCCACACGGGCACUGAGACACGGGCCCGACUCCUACGGGAGGCAAGCAGUAAGGAAUAUUGGUCAAUGGACGCAAGUCUGAACCAGCCAUGCCGCGUGAAGGAUUAAGGUCCUCUGGAUUGUAAACUUCUUUUAUUUGGGACCAAAAAGGGUCUUUCUAGACCAACUGACGGUACCAGAUGAAUAAGCACCGGCUAACUCCGUGCCAGCAGCCGCGGUAAUACCGAGGGUGCAAAGCGUUAUCCGGAUUCACUGGGUUUAAAGGGUGCGUAGGCGGGUAGGUAAGUCAGUGGUGAAAUCCUGGACUCAACUCCAGACUGCCAUUGAUACUAUUUA